CGAACCGUCCGAACGUUAUUCGGAAUCACUGGGCUUUAAGGGUGCGUAGGCGGCGUAGUAAGUAGGGUGUGAAAUCCCUCGGCUCAACCGAGGAACUGCGCCCUAAACUACUAUGCUUGAGGGAGAUAGAGGUGAGCGGAACUUAGGGUGGAGCGGUGAAAUGCGUUGAUAUCCUAAGGAACACCGGUGGCGAAAGCGGCUCACUGGAUCUCUUCUGACGCUGAGGCACGAAAGCUAGGGUAGCAAACGGG
RNAcentral lists this ribosomal RNA (251 nucleotides) under uncultured bacterium. RNAcentral describes it as "partial 16S ribosomal RNA". It matches the Rfam family "Bacterial small subunit ribosomal RNA", at positions 526 to 776 of the family's 1533-position model. The record is from RNAcentral.